This 254-nucleotide ribosomal RNA is filed under the name uncultured bacterium. RNAcentral's name for it is "partial 16S ribosomal RNA". It matches the Rfam family "Bacterial small subunit ribosomal RNA", at positions 524 to 776 of the family's 1533-position model. The record is from RNAcentral.
UACGGGGGGAGCAAGCGUUGUUCGGAUUUACUGGGCGUAAAGGGCGCGUAGGCGGCCACCGCAAGUCAAUUGUGAAAUCUCCGGGCUUAACUCGGAAAGGUCAACUGAUACUGCGGGGCUAGAGUGCGGAAGGGGCAACUGGAAUUCUCGGUGUAGCGGUGAAAUGCGUAGAGAUGUGGAGGAACACCGAUGGCGAAGGCAGCCUUCUGGGCCAAUACUGACGCUCAUGCACGAAAGCGUGGGGAGCAAACAGG